Molecule: ribosomal RNA, 254 nt
Filed under: uncultured bacterium
Lineage: Bacteria
Description: partial 16S ribosomal RNA
Rfam family: Bacterial small subunit ribosomal RNA
Source: RNAcentral
UACGGGGGGAGCAAGCGUUGUUCGGAUUUACUGGGCGUAAAGGGCGCGUAGGCGGCCAGCACAAGUCAGUUGUGAAAUCUCAGAGCUUAACUCGGAAAGGUCAACUGAUACUGUGCGGCUAGAGUGCGGAAGGGGCAACUGGAAUUCUUGGUGUAGCGGUGAAAUGCGUAGAUAUCAAGAGGAACACCGGUGGCGAAGGCGGCUAUCUGGACAGAGUCUGACGCUGAUGCGCGAAAGCUAGGGGAGCAAACAGG